CCUACGGGAGGCAGCAGUGAGGAAUAUUGGUCAAUGGUCGGGAGACUGAACCAGCCAAGCCGCGUGAGGGAUGAAGGUACAGAGUAUCGUAAACCUCUUUUGUCAGGGAACAAAGGCGGGGACGUGUCCCCGGAUGCGUGUACCUGAAGAAAAAGCAUCGGCUAACUCCGUGCCAGCAGCCGCGGUAAUACGGAGGAUUCGAGCGUUAUCCGGAUUUAUUGGGUUUAAAGGGUGCGCAGGGGGUCUGUUAAGUCAGCGGUGAAAGGCCCGGGCUCAACCCCCGCCCGGCAGUUGAAACUGGCAGUCUCGAGUUGGAGUGAAGUAUGCGGAAUGCGCGGUGUAGCGGUGAAAUGCAUAGAUAUCGCGCAGAACUCCGAUUGCGAAGGCAGCAUGCCGGCUCCACACUGACGCUGAGGCACGAAAGCGUGGGUAUCGAACAGGAUUAGAUACCCGAGUAGUC
This 460-nucleotide ribosomal RNA is filed under the name uncultured bacterium. Its description in RNAcentral is "partial 16S ribosomal RNA". It matches the Rfam family "Bacterial small subunit ribosomal RNA", at positions 338 to 795 of the family's 1533-position model. The record is from RNAcentral.